GAUGAACGCUGGCGGCGUGCCUAAUACAUGCAAGUCGAGCGAACAGACGAGGAGCUUGCUCCUCUGACGUUAGCGGCGGACGGGUGAGUAACACGUGGAUAACCUACCUAUAAGACUGGGAUAACUUCGGGAAACCGGCGCUAAUACCGGAUAAUAUAUUGAACCGCAUGGUUCAAUAGUGAAAGACGGUUUUGCUGUAACUUAUAGAUGGAUCCGCGCCGCAUUAGCUAGUUGGUAAGGUAACGGCUUACCAAGGCAACGAUGCGUAGCCGACGGGAGAGGGUGAUCGGCCACACUGGAGCUGAGACACGGUCCAGACUCCUACGGUAGGCAGCAGUAGGGAAUGUUCCGCAAUGGGCGAAAGCCUGACGGAGCAACGCCGCGUGAGUGAUGAAGGUCUUCGGAUCGUAAAACUCUGUUAUUAGGGAAGAACAAAUGUGUAAGUAACUAUGCACGUCUUGACGGUACCUAAUCAGAAAGCCACGGCUAACUACGUG
RNAcentral lists this ribosomal RNA (497 nucleotides) under uncultured bacterium. Its description in RNAcentral is "partial 16S ribosomal RNA". It matches the Rfam family "Bacterial small subunit ribosomal RNA", at positions 28 to 507 of the family's 1533-position model. The record is from RNAcentral.